Molecule: ribosomal RNA, 466 nt
Filed under: uncultured bacterium
Lineage: Bacteria
Description: bacterial SSU rRNA
Rfam family: Bacterial small subunit ribosomal RNA
Source: RNAcentral
GGGCCCGCACAAGCGGUGGAGCAUGUGGUUUAAUUCGACGCAACGCGCAGAACCUUACCAGCCCUUGACAUCCCGUGACCGGUCCAGAGAUGGACUUUCCCCGCAAGGGGCACGGAGACAGGUGCUGCAUGGCUGUCGUCAGCUCGUGUCGUGAGAUGUUGGGUUAAGUCCCGCAACGAGCGCAACCCUUGCCUUCAGUUGCCAUCAUUUAGUUGGGCACUCUGGAGGGACUGCCGGCGGCAAGCCGGAGGAAGGUGGGGAUGACGUCAAGUCCUCAUGGCCCUUACGGGCUGGGCUACACACGUGCUACAAUGGUGGCGACAGAGGGCACAAGCGAGAGCGUAAGCUUUAGCAAAUCCUCAAAAGCCAUCUCAGUUCAGAUUGCGCUCUGCAACUCGGGCGCAUGAAGGUGGAAUCGCUAGUAAUCGCAGAACAGCAGGCUGCGGUGAAUACGUUCCCGGGCCUU